Molecule: unclassified non-coding RNA, 178 nt
Filed under: Glomus indicum
Lineage: Eukaryota; Fungi; Glomeromycota; Glomeromycetes; Glomerales; Glomeraceae
Also listed under: 2 other names
Description: partial internal transcribed spacer region
Rfam family: Eukaryotic small subunit ribosomal RNA (bases 1-46)
Source: RNAcentral
AAGUCGUAACAAGGUUUCCGUAGGUGAACCUGCGGAAGGAUCAUUACCAAUAUAGCGAACCGAGCGUUAGCGAGGUUUCGCGAUCAAAUUUGUAUUUAAAACCCAACUCUUUAAAUGUAUAUUAUUAUUGUAUUUUAAAUAAUAAAGAUCACUUUCAACAACGGAUCUCUUGGCUCUC